GAAAUGCGAUAACUAGUGUGAAUUGCAGAAUUCCGUGAAUCAUCGAGUCUUUGAACGCAGAUUGCGCCCCCUGGUAUUCCGGGGGGCAUGUCUGUCCGAGCGUCAUUGCUGCCCAUCAAGCACGGCUUGUGUGUUGGGUCGUCGUCCCCUCUCCGGGGGGGACGGGCCCCAAAGGCAGCGGCGGCACCGCGUCCGAUCCUCGAGCGUAUGGGGCUUUGUCACCCGCUCUGUAGGCCCGGCCGGCGCUUGCCGAACGCAAAUCAAUCUUUUUCCAGGUUGACCUCGGAUCAGGUAGGGAUACCCGCUGAACUUAAGC
This 316-nucleotide unclassified non-coding RNA is filed under the name plant metagenome. Its description in RNAcentral is "partial contains 5.8S ribosomal RNA, internal transcribed spacer 2, and large subunit ribosomal RNA". The stretch from base 1 to 105 matches the Rfam family "5.8S ribosomal RNA", at positions 50 to 154 of the family's 154-position model. The record is from RNAcentral.